This 333-nucleotide ribosomal RNA is filed under the name uncultured bacterium. RNAcentral's name for it is "bacterial SSU rRNA". It matches the Rfam family "Bacterial small subunit ribosomal RNA", at positions 30 to 359 of the family's 1533-position model. The record is from RNAcentral.
AUUGAACGCUGGCGGCAUGCUUUACACAUGCAAGUCGAACGGUAACAGGGAGCUUGCUCCGCUGACGAGUGGCGAACGGGUGAGUAAUGCAUCGGAACAUCGCCCAGUCAGUGGGGGAUAACUACGCGAAAGCGUAGCUAAUACCGCAUACGCCCUGGAGGGGGAAAGGUGGGGGAUCUUAGGACCUCACGUGAUUGGAGUGGCCGAUGUCAGAUUAGCUAGUUGGUGAGGUAAAGGCUCACCAAGGCGACGAUCUGUAGCGGGUCUGAGAGGAUGAUCCGCCACACUGGGACUGAGACACGGCCCAGACUCCUACGGGAGGCAGCAGUGGGG